This 497-nucleotide ribosomal RNA is filed under the name uncultured bacterium. RNAcentral's name for it is "partial 16S ribosomal RNA". It matches the Rfam family "Bacterial small subunit ribosomal RNA", at positions 28 to 507 of the family's 1533-position model. The record is from RNAcentral.
GAUGAACGCUGGCGGCGUGCCUAAUACAUGCAAGUCGAGCGAACGGACGAGAAGCUUGCUUCUCUGAUGUUAGCGGCGGACGGGUGAGUAACACGUGGAUAACCUACCUAUAAGACUGGGAUAACUUCGGGAAACCGGAGCUAAUACCGGAUAAUAUUUUGAACCGCAUGGUUCAAAAGUGAAAGACGGUCUUGCUGUCACUUAUAGAUGGAUCCGCGCUGCAUUAGCUAGUUGGUAAGGUAACGGCUUACCAAGGCAACGAUGCAUAGCCGACCUGAGAGGGUGAUAGGCCACACUGGAACUGAGACACGGUCCAGACUCCUACGGGAGGCAGCAGUAGGGAAUCUUCCGCAAUGGGCGAAAGCCUGACGGAGCAACGCCGCGUGAGUGAUGAAGGUCUUCGGAUCGUAAAAAUCUGUUAUUAGGGAAGAACAGAUGUGUAAGUAACUGUGCACAUCUUGACGGUACCUAAUCAGAAAGCCACGGCUAACUACGUG